Long non-coding RNA from Haliotis rubra (blacklip abalone), 176 nucleotides. RefSeq lists it as uncharacterized. The record is from RefSeq and is a predicted model, not a curated record. The transcript has 3 exons. NCBI's taxonomy places the organism in Eukaryota, Metazoa, Mollusca, Gastropoda, Lepetellida, Haliotidae.
UAAUGGGUACAACAAGGACUGGUCGGCUCGGAGUCAUGCUUAACUGCUGCAUGGUAACUCAUUGAGCUAGCACUAUUAAACCAGCUUAAGUCUGUGCUAGUACAAGCAGCCACACAUACACACGCAUGCCCGUCGUCAUAUGAGCGAAAUAUGUUUAAGUACGACAUUAAACCCCA